UACAGGGGGGGCAAGCGUUGUUCGGAAUUACUGGGCGUAAAGGGUUCGUAGGUGGCCACUUAAGUCAGACGUGAAAUCCCUCAGCUUAACUGGGGAACUGCGUCUGAUACUGGGUGGCUUGAGUGCAGGAGAGGGAUGCGGAAUUCCAGGUGUAGCGGUGAAAUGCGUAGAUAUCUGGAGGAACAUCAGUGGCGAAGGCGACACCCUGGACUCAUACUGACACUGAGGUGCGAAAGCGUGGGGAGCAAACAGG
This 253-nucleotide ribosomal RNA is filed under the name uncultured bacterium. RNAcentral describes it as "partial 16S ribosomal RNA". It matches the Rfam family "Bacterial small subunit ribosomal RNA", at positions 524 to 776 of the family's 1533-position model. The record is from RNAcentral.